This 199-nucleotide ribosomal RNA is filed under the name Vibrio sp. RNAcentral's name for it is "16S ribosomal RNA". It matches the Rfam family "Bacterial small subunit ribosomal RNA", at positions 335 to 526 of the family's 1533-position model. The record is from RNAcentral. Lineage: Bacteria; Pseudomonadati; Pseudomonadota; Gammaproteobacteria; Vibrionales; Vibrionaceae.
ACUCCUACGGGAGGCAGCAGUGGGGAAUAUUGCACAAUGGGCGCAAGCCUGAUGCAGCCAUGCCGCGUGUGUGAAGAAGGCCUUCGGGUUGUAAAGCACUUUCAGUCGUGAGGAAGGUGGUGUWGUUAAUAGCASCAUYAUUUGACGUUAGCGACAGAAGAAGCACCGGCUAACUCCGUGCCAGCAGCCGCGGUAAUAC